Mercenaria mercenaria is the source of this 3587-nucleotide long non-coding RNA. RefSeq lists it as uncharacterized. The record is from RefSeq and is a predicted model, not a curated record. Lineage: Eukaryota; Metazoa; Mollusca; Bivalvia; Venerida; Veneridae. The transcript has 4 exons.
AAAAAAGGUGGCACGACAAUAAACCAGAAAUUGUAUAUAUUUAUUUCAUAAUCCUUUUUGAGCGAAACUUCGACAGCAAGAAGAGCUGAUUACGAAAAGGAGGCCGGGAUUUAUUUGACAAGGGAUGAUCUCGAAGAGGCUUUCAGAGAGAAGGAGCUCGAUGAAGACGGGAAAAGACUUUUUAGAUUUGCUAUGCGUACCGUGUCUGAAGAAAAUGUAAAGAGUAAAAUAUGUAAUGUUGAACUUACUGUUUAUCUUGCUCACAACAACAAAAUUACUAUCAGUAAAGGAGCUCCAAAACAGAAAAUGAUUAUACUCCUGGAUGAGAAAAAGGAACCUAUCCUAUUGGGAAAUUAAAAGCAGUCCUUAACCAAACGUUAAUAGUAAUUUUCUGUGAGGCUAUGCAAAGGCUACUUUGUGCAUAUCAUUAAAGACUUUCUGAAACGUUUCAUCAACGAACUAGGUUAAAAUGCUAAGUCUCCAACCUAGUCUCAAAGUUCCAGCAUUUGACCGACUACAUCAGAGCACAAUCAACUGUUGUGCUUUGAGACUGUUUUUGAAUUCAGGUUUAUUGUUUUUCGUUUACUUUUGCCAUGCUGUGACAAUGUGGAAAACGUGCAUAUGACCAUAUUUGAAAUAUGGAGCGGGUCAUACGAAACCUGCCCUGAUAACCGCCGUUGCAUCCAUGCAUUAAUCUUUAUUCUAUCAUGUUGAAAAAAAACGUUUACGGCGGCGGUGCGUUAACACAUCACCAGUCUGUGGUCUGACUUUAAAUUCAAGUACGGGUGUUCCUUUACUUCGAAUCGGAACAUUAAACUAAUAUAAUAAAAGUUCAAAAACGUAUGUCUACCGUAACUACGUCUGUUUUUAAAUCUUAUUUGCAAACACACUAGCAAUUUUGAAUUAAUCCGAUGUUCGCCAUAUACUUCAAGCGGUCUUUUUUUAUUUUUGCAUUCUAAUGAAACGACCAAAACCUCGGUCUUAUGUAAACAGGACAGUAUAUAUAUAAUCUCUAUCUUCGACGCUCGUUUUGAAUGAGGAACUACGUGUUCAAAUCCCAUAACUUAUCAUAUUGUUUGUUUUUCUAUUGCUUAAUUGUGUGUUUACAUUAUUUUAAUAGUUUAUGUUUUAUGCGCUCUUCAUAGCAAUAUCUAACUCUCAAAGAGAUCAUUUACAGAAUAACAAAGCAUGGCAGAAAGUUAAACAUUUCCUUUCAUUCAUGUGAAUUGACAAUUUCAUGAUUAGUUGUUGUGUUUAGGAUACAAACAUUUUAUAGAUCCAAUAGAAAAACCCAUGAAAUUCCGAUUUACAAAUUGCAAAUCUGUAUGAAUGUGUACAUGUUUAACAUACGCACAAAAAUACAAACAACAAGUAGAACAUAGAACAAGGAGGAUGAAUCCAACAAAUGAAUAUGUAGGAGAAAAACAAAACAAAUGUCCUACCAUCCUGUUUCACUUCAAAAACUGUUUUAAAUAAAGUUCUACCAACCAAUACUUUUCCAGUAAGAUAUUUAAUGUAUUUAAUAGUAUAAUAGCAAAAUAAAAUGUUAUUUAAAAGUUCAAUAGGUUCUUGACCUCUACAGUCACCUUACUGCAGCAGUAAAUUCUACCAAAGACAUAACAUAGGUCUGAUUACGCCAGUUACAGGGUAACUCCUUCCUCAAGGCAAGACAAUAAAGGAAAUAUUGUACAAUUUAGGCAUUAACUUUUGUUUAAAACUUCGAAGAUUCUUUGUUUCAAUAGAACUGCGACUUGUGCCUUAGUACAGUUGCAGAUGUAUCUCUAUGAAUUAGAACAGAAAGAUCAGAAAAUGAUUUAACUUGUUAUAUGCGGUAGGGUGCUGGCCAAGACUAAGCUGACCCGACCCAGGUAGCCGUGAGAAUUGCUCCAAUGGUGUCAUUAGACUCAGUGAAGGUAGUGCUUGGGUUUUCAGGACCGUCUUGACUACUCUGACAAGUUCAAAGGGACAUUUUUCAUUUUUCAUUUCAUGAAAAUCAUCUUGAAAGCCAACACGAAUUGACAGAUGCAGCAAAAAUAGUAAAUAAAUACUCUUACAGUAUACACCAAAUAAGUGCAGACACAACAGUCAAAAGAAUUUUAAGAAAUAAUUUAUCAGACUUUCGAAUGAGUUACCAACACAGGCCCCUAGAUGAUGCCCAGUCAGAAUAGCUAAAUGGCCAUUUAUGGAUGUCCGGGGACACAGAGGUUUCUCUUCAUAGAACAGACUGUAUGUGAUUGACAACCAGUGAUCAUGACACUUAAGUUUAAACAAAGCGUAGUAUUUUAUAGCAAAGCAUUUUGCAGCACGAGAGGCAUCUGCAACAAAUCAAAAGAAUAUGUCAAUUCAUAAUUAUAAAUUCAUAAUUAUAUGAAAUAAGUUAAGGCUCUUUUAUGUUAGACUGAUGUUAUGCAAGUUCAAAUCAACUAUAAUACAAAAAAAAAACAUAAUUUUUCAUUGCAGAAUCCUAUCUGAGCAAUCUUGAACAACAAGAAGAGCUGAUUACGAAAAAAUAAAAUUAAAGCAGUUUUAUCUUUUUAAAUCUUAAAUCGUUAUAUCGUUCUGUAAAGACAUCCUCGAUUUUCGCAUGAUACUCGUGAAUAUACUGAAUGACAUAGGUAACUUCAAGGCCUUUUAUAUUGUUUUACUUCCUGGCUCAGUUUUACAUGUACAAUAAAUGUACGUAUAUUUCAUGCAUUGUUAGUAGUCGCUGACUUACAAUACGUCUUUAAUGUUCUUCUGAGUAAAACAUGAUCGAACAAAUUCUAACCUGGUGGCCGGACAUAUAUCAUCAACCAAGUUACACAAACACAUGCGUGCGCAAGUCACUUAAAAUACGAUUCUUGGCAAUGAUUUGCAAUUGCAGUGCUUUGUUUCACCACCGAAUCGCCAAAUAUGACCUUUUUAAUUAUUUUUUUUCGAUACGUCACGGAGCGUUCAGGAUUAAAUUCUUGAACUCGUGUUCCUGAUAUUUAAACAAAUUAUUGUACAGUUAGGUACCAAAGCACCCGUUUUCAUUUGUGAAACAUGUUCUUCAGUCGCUUAACAGCAUCUUGUUAAAAGAACAAAAAAUGGACAGAAUGGCGUGUCUUUUACUGGAAAAAGCUUUUUAUCAGAAAGUUUGCGAUGGUCACGAUAAUGCACUGGAAAUUUUAUUUCUGAUUUUAAAACAAAGGAAAUACAUACAAUUUAAGUUGAAAACUACUUUUUUCAACUGAGAGCAGAAUAAGCUUUUCUAGCUUACAAUGGUUUACAGUGACGACCGUCUAUGUGGGCCUUAAAAACUGAUUUGUCACCUGGGCUAUUACAGCUGAAAAACAAGUCUUACUGGACAUUAGUAUGCACGCUUGUUUAACUUGCUGUGUGGACUGACGAGCGCAGCUAUCUGCAAAUAAUUAUGUGAAAGAGCAUAUUCGCCUACACAGAGGAAUUUUAUGAACGGAAGUACUAUUUAAAAAUGUCAAGCAACGAAGGAAAUCUUGAAAAACAGAGUGACUCUGUUGAACAAAGUGAUCCUGCAAAGGCUCUUAUUGAAGAGCGAAUCAGGAAGAAAGAGAAGGAACUGCAACAAGUAACUUCACACAUUGAAC